UGCCUAACACAUGCAAGUCGAACGGCAGCACGGCUGUGUACUUGUACAUGUUGGGUGGCGAGUGGCGGACGGGUGAGUAACGCGUAGGAAUAUACCUUAAAGAGGGGGACAACUUGGGGAAACUCAAGCUAAUACCGCAUGGACUCUGAGGAGGAAAGCUGGGGACCUUAGGGCCUGGCGCUUUAAGAAUAGCCUGCGUCCGAUUAGCUAGUUGGUGAGGUAAAGGCUCACCAAGGCGACGAUCGGUAGCUGGUCUGAGAGGACGACCAGCCACACUGGAACUGAGAGACGGUCCAGACUCCUACGGGAGGCAGCAGUGGGGAAUAUUGGACAAUGGGGGGAACCCUGAUCCAGCGUUGCCGCGUGUGUGAAGAAGGCCUGAGGGUUGUAAAGCAC
Molecule: ribosomal RNA, 396 nt
Filed under: uncultured organism
Description: bacterial SSU rRNA
Rfam family: Bacterial small subunit ribosomal RNA
Source: RNAcentral